Molecule: ribosomal RNA, 501 nt
Filed under: uncultured beta proteobacterium
Lineage: Bacteria; Pseudomonadati; Pseudomonadota; Betaproteobacteria
Description: bacterial SSU rRNA
Rfam family: Bacterial small subunit ribosomal RNA
Source: RNAcentral
CAAUGGGGGCAACCCUGAUCCAGCAAUGCCGCGUGAGUGAAGAAGGCCCUCGGGUUGUAAAGCUCUUUUGUCAGGGAAGAAACGGAGUUCUCUAAUAUGGGAUUCUAAUGACGGUACCUGAAGAAUAAGCACCCGCUAACUACGUGCCAGCAGCCGCGGUAAUACGUAGGGUGCAAGCGUUAAUCGGAAUUACUGGGCGUAAAGCGUGCGCAGGCGGUUUUGUAAGUCUGAUGUGAAAUCCCCGGGCUCAACCUGGGAACUGCAUUGGAGACUGCAAGGCUAGAGUGUGUCAGAGGGGGGUAGAAUUCCACGUGUAGCAGUGAAAUGCGUAGAGAUGUGGAGGAAUACCGAUGGCGAAGGCAGCCCCCUGGGAUAACACUGACGCUCAUGCACGAAAGCGUGGGGAGCAAACAGGAUUAGAUACCCUGGUAGUCCACGCCCUAAACGAUGUCUACUAGUUGUCGGGACUUAAUUGUCUUGGUAACGCAGCUAACGCGUGAA